GGCUUUGUGGCGCAAUUGGUAGCGCGUCAGAUUCCAAUUCGAUCUUCGGUCUCCGAAGCGAAUGAUCUGUAGGUUAUCCGUUCGAGUCGGGUCAGGGUCA
Molecule: transfer RNA, 100 nt
Organism: Kwoniella heveanensis BCC8398
Lineage: Eukaryota; Fungi; Basidiomycota; Tremellomycetes; Tremellales; Cryptococcaceae
Rfam family: tRNA
About the family: Transfer RNA (tRNA) molecules are approximately 80 nucleotides in length.
Source: Rfam